GCGCUUAAACAAAAACACGCUCUCCUCUUUCGUAUUCACAAACCCUAAUAUACUGUCUCCGCUCUUUUUUCACCCGCUUCCUUUAAACCCUAAUUUCAGUUUCAUAUCCUGCCUCUUUCCAUCGUCUAUCUCUUUCUUGUAUGUUCAAUCCUUCAUCUACCUAACCCUAAUCACUAUCCCAUUCCAUCUGCUACAUAUUUUGCUUCUAUUAUACAAAAUAAUACAGUCAAGAAGCACUGCUCUCCGUUCACUCACGCCGUUUGAUUCGUCAGCUAAAACAUCUCAUGAGAGAAAGACCACUGAUGAGGAUCAUCGUUGUUGUUGAUGUUAGGUUUAGCGAAGGAUUGCCGCCGAUCCUUACGGCACUGGAGGUUUUGGAAACUCGAUGAGUGCUUGGAGUUGAUUUCGAAGUCGAUUAAGAACUCUAAGCUGUUAGUGUUAUCUUCUUGUGAGGGUUUCUGAUGGACUUGCUACUAUUGCCACCAAUUGCAGGACUCUGAAUCUAUAUAUUUAUCCAGCAUUCGGCAGUGCAAAGGCAUGUGAGCAGCAUAGGAGAUGUUCACUUGAAUGACAACAGUAGCAUGUAACGCUAAAAAAUCCCAUUGAUCAUUAUCACUAAAAAUGUUUGCACAUCUUUGAAAAAAAAGGCAAAUACUUCACAGGUGCCUUUCUACACAAAACAAUUCACCAGUCACCACCAAAAAGGAAAUGAAAUUUUUGUACACAACAUAACACAAAUUCUACAAAACUUUCUAAAUUGCAUUACACUCACACAUUGCACUACAUGAUAUGUGUUCACUAUGACUAAGCCAGUUAACCGUUGAGAAAAUUAAGUGCUAUGAGUUUUUCAGAUGCGCAACAGGCUACUGCUAACGCAUAAUCUAUGUUCAGUGGUCGACAGACAGUUGCCUACAAGCAACUCUUUUUCAAGCAAUCAUACAGGACCAAACAUCCUUUUUACAACAAACCAGUUACUCUUACUUGGGUCUUUUACUCUCAAAACCAUAGAGCCAUUUAGAGACCCGCUUUGGUGACAAACUGAUCUAGCCCCUAUCUAAUUCAAAGCCCAAGUCAUACAGUUCAUACAAAUAUGCAAUCCAUUCAGACGUAAACAUCACAUAUAGUUAUAUAUCUUACUCGAAUUUCUUAAAUCAAAAGAAUGCCAUCAAGAAACAUUUAUCCUCAUGUCUUUAACAAUUCCUCAUCCUAAAUACAUACCUAGGACUUCGAAUCUUAAUAUUCAUCCAGAUUUCUGCAGUCUGAAGGCAUGUAAGUUGCCUAGAACAUGUUGGCUUGAAAGAUAAAGUGGCAUGAAAACCAUGGUGAUGGGAUAGAGGUUGUAGGGAAGGCUGCUCAGGUUGAGUAUUUUGACUCCAUUAUACGGUUACAAGCAUGUUACAAGGUAUCUAGAUACGUUUGCACCAAGGCACGAGAUUUUAUGGCUACUGUAAACCAUUCCGCAUCACUCAUCAUUGGUAAAAAGGCACGCUUCAUAUCCAUCAAAGGUCCAGAAAUACCUAUAUUUUGCUUUAGUUUUACGCGUUAUGAGAUGCUUAACAACGGAGUUAAGAACAACAAACUGCUAACAGAUAUUACAUCGGCCGUGUUGACAAUAACUACUUAAUGUCAACUACAACAAACAAGAUUUUGAGAAAGGUCGCCAUGACAGAUGAAUGAGAUGAUACACCUCAUUGGGGAGGAAGUAGUAGCGGGAGACAUAGUGUCAAUCAUGUGCACACAAAUCUCCAACCACUAUGGUCUGAUGCAGUUAGAGUCGACACACCUGACCACUGCUGCUAUUAACCUAGAAUGCCCACGGCCCCACACAUCGCUGAUAAGAUAGCUGGGUUAGCGGUUGAAAGCGCUUCCGCCCUCAGAUGAAGCAGAUGACAACGAUCCACUGAUCAUACUACUAGAUCUGAAAUCACCAACUAGGCUAAAGCAUCGGACUAUAUAUAAGCGGGUAGCUUCUUACGAGGACUCUAAAGAUUUCAACAGAGAUGUGAGGUAAGUUUACAUAGCUUUGGAAAUUAAAAUUUUCUAACAUCUGAAGUUGGAUUAUUUGACAUGCCUGUUGAUAACUAACAAUAACUGUUGAUUGGCUUGAAGGCAACUUCUUGCCCCUGUUUAGCUGGGAGGGCAGCAAUUUCAUGGGUUGUUUUUUAUUCGUUAUGAUCAUCAUAAAUUUUAAUUCAAGUAUGGUUUUAGGGUUGUUUUAGUUUUAUACAUUUAGAAUAUGACCAGUUGAUUGUUAAAUUUGUCUUUCUUGACCAAAGACUCAAAAAACACUUUGUUUUAGGCUUGCUUUAAUUAUUGCUUAUGUUAAUUUUGUACCUGUAACUGCAUCGGUAUAUAAUGGUUUGUGAUGGAUAUACUUUUUGUUACUCAAAGUACGGAUGGAGUAGUCACAUUUACAAGUGUCGGUUGAAGUAAUAUACUACAAAUACCCACGUACGCGUAGUUUAGUGUUUAGCUUUAUGUUUAGAGUAAUAAACCACUAUUUGCAGGGAAGUGGAUUUGAAAAACUUUUUACUUUUUAGUACGCGUAACUUACUUCUAAAGCCUCAGUAAUACAAGUGUUCUUUUUGUUCAUUAUGAUUGCUUAUGAUCUAACUUUUACUAUUAUUUUUGAAAGUCGAGUCAUUUGAUUGUGAGGUAGGCAAUGGUUUAUAAAUAUAUUGAUUUUUAUUAUUAUUCUUUUUUUUUUUUGCAAAAAUAAGGUGCGUUUUAUGCUUUAGGAUAAAUAGUAGCUUGCGUUAAUGCUAUUUCUAUGACCUCUACUAUUUACAUGGUUUGUUGUGUAUAGAUCAAAAUGGUUAACCUGGCGUUCAAUACCUCAAGCUUUCUAUUCGUAAUUAUUGGUAAGGGGUCAAAACGGGGACACGUUGAACUUAGUAUAUUUUUAGUAUUGGUUACAAGCCAAAAUAUACAAGGUUAUUCACCCGAGGCCUGAAAACGCCCAAAAAUGCAAUUUUUUGGCGCUUCUUGGGUUUACUCGAGGUGUUAAGUGAAAAAAGCGAUGGCCCUUGCGCACAGUUACGCUUUUUAAGGACAAGAUUGUUAUGUUUUUGGGGAUUAUUGUUUGUUUUUGUGGAUGUGAAGUAAUGUGUUUGUGCUUUUUGGUAGUCCUUAGGUAAUUUGUGCGAUUUGCAGUACUUAACAACAGGUUUAGUGUUGAAUUAUGUGAAUUUUAUUGGAAUUAUUGAGUUUGCGUAGUGUUUCUGUGGAAUCUUCAAGUUCUAUGAUGAUGUAACACUACCCGUAGUUAAUUUGUUUUCAUAGCAAUAAAAGUUGGUUCAUAUAAAUAUCUUUGAACAAUAUGCUAAGUUAUGUUGUGUGUGUGUGUGUGUGUGUUUUUUUUUUUGUAAUUUUGCACUCUGUGACUUAAAUUCCGAAGGAACAGUUUCACUGCAAUGAUUGUGGAAUUUGUAGGUUAGUAAGGAAAAAAGUGAUAUUGUUUGUGAAUCUGUAUAUAUAUGAUUGUUCUUUAAUAUAGGCUGAUGACAAAGUGUAAAUGACUACAGAGCUUGUGGUACGAAUUUCUUCCAUUGCGAAAAGUGUGGAACAUGCUCAUUCUUUCAUGGGGUAUUCUGGUCUUUUUUAACUUUCAUAUCACCAAUUUUUUAUACAUGUGUUGUCACUUUUCAUAACCACUAAAAUGAACUUAUGAUCCAAUUUGACAUGUUCGUAUCUUAUGUGUUUUUUUUGAAGUCUAUCGUGAAGCAAAUAUAAGCUGAACCCCUUUGACUGGUGUCAUAGGAAGGCAGAUUCUGACGAGAACUUUUGGUUAUGGAAGAUCAUGUAUUGUAUGAUUUUCUAGGGCCUGCAAGAGAUGAAAAUGAAUAACAUGGGAGGCUAUUUUCAGAGCGAUUUAAUAUACUUUUUUUUCACGGAACAAUGUAUUUUUUUUAAAUAGUCUUCUUUUAAGUAAUCAGAUGUACUUACAGUCUCUUUUAUUGUUUUAUAUCACUUUCCGAUUGAUUUUGUUUGAAUUACCAGAUUGGAUCCGUAUGCUCUAAUAAGAUGGGAAAAACAGGGUUUAUCCAAUGGUGAUGAAUGGGUUUUCAAAUACAUCGGGAAAAGAAGGUAAGUUCUCAAUUUCAAAGGGAUAGAUGAAACAUUGAUGGUAUUCAAGUUAAGAACUAAAAGCUCUAAGGAUCGGAUACAAUCUUUUGGAUAUUAGUAAUUUUGGGUUUUAUGUUCAUGCUUUUUUUACUUGGAUUUUAUAUAUAACAUGAUGAAGUUUGUAUCCACUGCUAAAUCUUUUGAGUUUAAUAUUUUGCUGCAAGCUAUGGCUACUGUAGUGACUUGGGGUGGGGAAGGACAUGUGGGUUUGGGAGUUGCGUUGUAAAAGGGGUUUUUUCGGUCAGAAACGUAAAGAAGCAAGCCUUAAUUCUUAACCCAGACUAAGAGUGUUUUCAGUGUUUCUAGAAUAAUUGGGUACCAAAGAAGGUCGGAAUUGUGGCAUGGUGAGUGGAACUGAAUAGGCUCCCGACGUGCGACUCGCCGAGAAGAAGGAUCAUCCCAGUUCAAGACGAGAUGUGUCCGUUAUGUUGGAAAGCCCCUGAAUCUGUAGAACAUGUAUUUAAUUCGUGUCGGUUGGGGUAAGGUGGUUGCGUGUAUCAUGAAUCAUCUUCUCGAGCAGCAUAAGGCGAUAAUCGGAUCAAAGAAGGUUUAAAAAGAUUUUAGUGGGAUCUUGCAAACGGCUUUUUGAUGCCUCUGGAAGAUGAGAAACGCGGCUGUUUUUUAGAACAAACAGGGUACAAUAACAACCAUCAUUGAGGAGGUGAAGGUAAUGAGGUUUUCAUGAGUCAAAUUUUGAGCAUGCGCAAGAGCUUUAACGUGGAAGAUGUGGCGUAGGUUUGAUCUUAGCUGUAUAGGGUGAUGUUUUGUGGUCUGUUUGAUUUUUUAGCUAUUGUUCUUGGUGUAUAUAUGGGGUGUAAGUUUGUAAGUUUGUAAUCUGCAACUUGCAGAUGAUGAAAUAAAAGUUUAGUUGGCCGUUAGAAAAACAUGAUGAACUUUGCAAUGCUUAACUAUGUUUCUAAACUGUUAUCAUUUCAA
Molecule: RNA transcript, 5061 nt
Organism: Helianthus annuus (common sunflower)
Lineage: Eukaryota; Viridiplantae; Streptophyta; Magnoliopsida; Asterales; Asteraceae
Exons: 8
Source: RefSeq, a predicted model, not a curated record